GAUGAACGCUGGCGGCGUGCCUAAUACAUGCAAGUAGAACGCUGAAGGAGGAGCUUGCUCUUCUGGAUGAGUUGCGAACGGGUGAGUAACGCGUAGGUAACCUGCCUGGUAGCGGGGGAUAACUAUUGGAAACGAUAGCUAAUACCGCAUGACAACAGUUAUUGCAUGAUAACUGUUUAAAAGGGGCAACUGCUCCACUACCAGAUGGACCUGCGUUGUAUUAGCUAGUUGGUGAGGUAACGGCUCACCAAGGCGACGAUACAUAGCCGACCUGAGAGGGUGAUCGGCCACACUGGGACUGAGACACGGCCCAGACUCCUACGGGAGGCAGCAGUAGGGAAUCUUCGGCAAUGGACGGAGUCUGACCGAGCAACGCCGCGUGAGUGAAGAAGGUUUUCGGAUCGUAAAGCUCUGUUGUAAGAGAAGAACGAGUGUGAGAGUGGAAAGUUCACACUGUGACGGUAUCUUACCAGAAAGGGACGGCUAACUACGUG
This 494-nucleotide ribosomal RNA is filed under the name uncultured bacterium. RNAcentral's name for it is "partial 16S ribosomal RNA". It matches the Rfam family "Bacterial small subunit ribosomal RNA", at positions 28 to 507 of the family's 1533-position model. The record is from RNAcentral.